AACAGUAAUAAUAAAAACAGUCAAAAAUAUUUAUGAGACCCAAGAGGCUGCCACAGGAACACCGUGGCUCAUGGGCCCUGAUCCUCUGUGCUGGGCCUCAGGGAUAAAUUCGGUCACGGACACCA
Neofelis nebulosa (Clouded leopard) is the source of this 125-nucleotide small nucleolar RNA. RefSeq annotates it as small nucleolar RNA SNORA5. NCBI's taxonomy places the organism in Eukaryota, Metazoa, Chordata, Mammalia, Carnivora, Felidae. The transcript has a single exon. The record is from RefSeq and is a predicted model, not a curated record.